Long non-coding RNA from Carassius auratus (goldfish), 1165 nucleotides. RefSeq lists it as uncharacterized. The transcript has 4 exons. The record is from RefSeq and is a predicted model, not a curated record. NCBI's taxonomy places the organism in Eukaryota, Metazoa, Chordata, Actinopteri, Cypriniformes, Cyprinidae.
GAAACAAUAUGGAAAUGCUUGUGUUUCCUGAUUAAAAUGCUUGCAUUUAUGUCUACAGAGAAAUAGCGUGCACACACACAUCCUGUAAUACGAUAUGUACCACAUCCUAUGCAGUGCAUUGCGGUUAGAAAAAAACAAGCAUAAUUGUAGAUUGUAGUGUAAAUGUGCAUCUGCAACUCACUUACUUAAUCUGUAAGCUUGAAGCUUUUUUGGGUGCUUUCUUUCAUCUGAGAAAGAAGACUGCACAGACAGCUUGACGAACAGCAUGAAGAGGAAAUCACCAACACUUUAGAUUGCAGUCUCAAGAUACAACUGAGAUUUUUGAGAAAGCAUACACCGAUGAAAGAUAGGAGUGUGUUUCCAGAUAUUGGAAUAUUUUAGAGAUCCACACCCGAGAGUUGAAGACAGAUCUGAGGUCAGAGCACUCAUCAGGGCUUGGCAGCUGAAACGACGCAAGUGUCUUGUCCCACAGACAUUAUCCCAAGACAUACAAGAUGCUGCAUUAAAACAAAGUGUAAUAAGGAUAGACUGUGAUGCUGAAUUAAAAAAUUAUUUGUGGUCCAUAACUGAUCGAAUCGGUCGGAAUAGACCAAGAGUCUGUGGAGGUCUGACUUCAGAUGCCAUGCUGCUGGAUAGUAGCUUCCAGUCAGUGACCGGAAUGUCUUUUGACUGAGUUUUGGAACAAUUAUUCAUAGGUCAUGUAAGCUUAACUGCCUACACAUUAGACAUUAAUUUUGUAAAGAACAAUAUGUGUACUAAUGUAGCUAGCCACUGUUUACUUCAAAUAUUGGGUCUUGAGAAGAAAUGCUUAUAAUACUCAUAAUUUGAAAUCGAUACAAAUGUAAAUAUAUAUGGCUAGGUUUAGGCAGGGGUUUUUAUAUUGUGGUAAGAUAAGAUAAGAUCCAUCACCCUUUAGCUGACUGGAGGAAAUGAUAAAAAACUGGAUAAUGUGUUUGACUUGUGUGACAAUGUGUUGUGGUAUCACUGCAUGCAUAGACAGUUUUUCAGGUGUAUUACAGUAGUGGCUUUAUUUCUCUGAUCCAAUUAUGUUCCUUAACUCAAAUGCAAUUACUGUAGUUGUGGUGUUUAAUUCUAAUAGGCUAUUUGUUUCUUUUUCAGUGUCACAUAGAUAAGAUGUAAUGAUUUAAUUCAAAAUAAACCUUAA